GGGUUAGUGGUCUAGUGGUAUGAUUCUCGCUUUGGGUGCGAGAGGUCCGGGGUUCGAUU
Molecule: non-coding RNA, 59 nt
Organism: Trichuris suis (pig whipworm)
Lineage: Eukaryota; Metazoa; Nematoda; Enoplea; Trichinellida; Trichuridae
Source: Rfam